UACAUUGUUUUGACUCUUCGUCUUAUUUAAAUUUUUUUUACGAUUAAUAUUUUUAUUCUUACUAGAUGAUAAAACAUGAAUGGUACUUUAUACGUAACUAUUUUUUUAAAAUUUUGUAUAAAUUUUUAAAUAAGACGAAUGGUGAAACGUUGGACACCGAAAACGA
RNAcentral lists this microRNA precursor (166 nucleotides) under Oryza brachyantha (malo sina). Its description in RNAcentral is "MIR812 microRNA precursor family". It matches the Rfam family "MIR812 microRNA precursor family", at positions 27 to 191 of the family's 205-position model. The record is from Rfam by way of RNAcentral. Lineage: Eukaryota; Viridiplantae; Streptophyta; Magnoliopsida; Poales; Poaceae.